AUGGCAUAUGCUCGCAUUAGCCAAAUUGAGAAUGAUACUACCUCAAUCAUAUCCCCUCAAGAAACCGAAAAUUUGUUACAAAUGAAGGGGGUGGUUCCUGUUGGACGUGCGGCCUCAUGGUUAGCUCGUGUAGCAGGAAAAUUUGUAGGGCGCCGAAAGGUGCAUGUCCCACUCAAUGUACACCAUAACCAUUGGAUGCUAAUGAUGUUUAAUUUUGACAAAAAAGAAAUUCAGACUCUGAACUCCAUGAAUUAUCAUUGCGACAAGACCAAGGAAGAUUCUCUUUUCUGCAUUGACGAAGUUGUCAAGAAAGGGUUGAUAUCACCAGCUAAUAACAUCAAUUUUGCCGAAUGGACCAAAAAAACGCUAUGA
This 372-nucleotide ribosomal RNA is filed under the name Triticum aestivum (bread wheat). RNAcentral describes it as "partial small subunit ribosomal RNA". The record is from RNAcentral. Lineage: Eukaryota; Viridiplantae; Streptophyta; Magnoliopsida; Poales; Poaceae.